GUCGCAGCGGUAUAGAGCGCUUGCUUCUCUUGAGAGCGGCGGACGGGUGAGUAAUGCCUAGGAAUCUGCCUGGUAGUGGGGGAUAACGUUCGGAAACGGACGCUAAUACCGCAUACGUCCUACGGGAGAAAGCAGGGGACCUUCGGGCCUUGCGCUAUCAGAUGAGCCUAGGUCGGAUUAGCUAGUUGUGGGGUAAUGGUCACCAAGGCGACGAUCCGUAACUGGUCUGAGGGAUGAUCAGUCACACUGGAACUGAGACACGGUCCAGACUCCUACGGGAGGCAGCAGUGGGGAAUAUUGGACAAUGGGCGAAAGCCUGAUCCAGCCAUGCCGCGUGUGUGAAGAAGGUCUUCGGAUUGUAAAGCACUUUAAGUUGGGAGGAAGGGCUGUAGAUUAAUCUCUGCUGUUUUGACGUUACCGACAGAAUAAGCACCGGCUAACUCUGUGCCAGCAGCCGCGGUAAUACAGAGGGUGCAAGCGUUAAU
This 485-nucleotide ribosomal RNA is filed under the name Pseudomonas sp. A6. RNAcentral describes it as "bacterial SSU rRNA". It matches the Rfam family "Bacterial small subunit ribosomal RNA", at positions 61 to 543 of the family's 1533-position model. RNAcentral also lists the same sequence under 1 other name. The record is from RNAcentral. Lineage: Bacteria; Pseudomonadati; Pseudomonadota; Gammaproteobacteria; Pseudomonadales; Pseudomonadaceae.